CUCCACGCUCCUGUGCAACCCCGCAAAGGGCGAGGGGAGGGCCCUCACUCGGAGAAGAGGAGAAAAAUUAAAAAGGAAGGGUGACGAACUACGAUGGAAACAUAUGAAGGAUGAACCGCACCAAAGACCUAAAGGACUUCGUCUCAACAGAGACGGGGAGUUCCUACCAAACACCCCCGGCCUCUAAAAAGACUCCCGACAC
RNAcentral lists this long non-coding RNA (202 nucleotides) under Elaeis guineensis (African oil palm). RNAcentral describes it as "long non-coding RNA (EGUI_LNC062108)". The record is from RNAcentral. Lineage: Eukaryota; Viridiplantae; Streptophyta; Magnoliopsida; Arecales; Arecaceae.